RNAcentral lists this ribosomal RNA (567 nucleotides) under uncultured Glomus. RNAcentral's name for it is "SSU rRNA". It matches the Rfam family "Eukaryotic small subunit ribosomal RNA", at positions 546 to 1106 of the family's 1831-position model. The record is from RNAcentral. Lineage: Eukaryota; Fungi; Glomeromycota; Glomeromycetes; Glomerales; Glomeraceae.
AAUUGGAGGGCAAGUCUGGUGCCAGCAGCCGCGGUAAUUCCAGCUCCAAUAGCGUAUAUUAAAGUUGUUGCAGUUAAAAAGCUCGUAGUUGAAUUUCGGGAUUGACGUGACGGUCGUGCCUUACGGGGUAUGAACUGUCGCCGUUGAUUUCUCACCUUCUGGAGAAGCUCGAUGUCCUUAAUUGGGUGUCUUGCGGAACCAGGACCUUUACCUUGAAAAAAUUAGAGUGUUUAAAGCAGGCAUUUUUUGCUCGAAUACAUUAGCAUGGAAUAAUAGAAUAGGACGGCAUGGUUCUAUUUUGUUGGUUUCUAGGAUCACCGUAAUGAUUAAUAGGGAUAGUUGGGGGCAUUAGUAUUCAAUUGUCAGAGGUGAAAUUCUUGGAUUUAUUGAAGACUAACUACUGCGAAAGCAUUUGCCAAGGAUGUUUUCAUUAAUCAAGAACGAAAGUUAGGGGAUCGAAGACGAUCAGAUACCGUCGUAGUCUUAACCAUAAACUAUGCCGACUAGGAAUCAGACGAUGUUAAUUUUUUAAUGACUCGUUUGGCACCUUACGGGAAACCAAAGUGU